Molecule: ribosomal RNA, 404 nt
Filed under: Fusobacteriota bacterium
Lineage: Bacteria; Fusobacteriati; Fusobacteriota
Description: Fusobacteria bacterium partial 16S ribosomal RNA
Rfam family: Bacterial small subunit ribosomal RNA
Source: RNAcentral
UGGGGAAUAUUGCACAAUGGAGGGAACUCUGAUGCAGCGACGCCGCGUGAGUGAUGAAGGAAUUCGUUUCGUAAAACUCUGUUCUAUGGGAAGAAAAGGACUGUACCAUAGGAGAAAGCUCCGGCUAAAUACGUGCCAGCAGCCGCGGUAAUACGUAUGGAGCGAGCGUUGUCCGGAAUUAUUGGGCGUAAAGGGUGCGCAGGCGGCUUUACAAGUUGGAUGUGAAAUAUUAUGGCUCAACCACAAACGUGCAUCCAAAACUGCAAAGCUUGAGUUAAGGAGAGGUAAGUGGAAUUCCUGGUGUAGCGGUGGAAUGCGUAGAUAUCAGGAGGAAUACCGGUGGCGAAGGCGACUUACUGGACUUAAACUGACGCUCAGGCACGAAAGCGUGGGGAGCAAACAGG